ACGGGUGAGUAACACGUAUGCAAUCCACCUGUAACAGGGGGAGUAACCCGGAGAAAUCCGGACUAAUACCCCAUAAUAUGGGCGCUCCGCAUGGAGAGCCCAUUAAAGAGAGCAAUUUUGGUUACAGACGAGCAUGCGCUCCAUUAGCCAGUUGGCGGGGUAACGGCCCACCAAAGCGACGAUGGAUAGGGGUUCUGAGAGGAAGGUCCCCCACAUUGGAACUGAGACACGGCCCAG
RNAcentral lists this ribosomal RNA (237 nucleotides) under uncultured bacterium. RNAcentral's name for it is "partial 16S ribosomal RNA". It matches the Rfam family "Bacterial small subunit ribosomal RNA", at positions 102 to 334 of the family's 1533-position model. The record is from RNAcentral.